GUGGCGAUGAAGAUACUGGUGCCCACUGCGGUGAAGGCCAUCGGCGCACGAUCUGGCGCCGCGAAUCGGAGGACAGGCUCGGGGAGGGCAUCCUCCUCCAUGUUGUCGGUGUCGAGCUUGUGGAUGCUGAACCCUAGGUACCCGCCCUGCUUCCUCUCAUCCAGCGCCAGAUACAGGUGCUUCUUCCUCUUGGCGCAGUACGGGCAUUGCUCCUCGCUCCGACGUGGACGCUUCAUUGAUUGCUGCUAGCUACUCGAUCGCCGGCUCGCCAGACACCUGGCUCCAAGGUCUCGUCUUGUCUUGUCCUCGAUCUCGUCUGC
Molecule: long non-coding RNA, 320 nt
Filed under: Sorghum bicolor (sorghum)
Lineage: Eukaryota; Viridiplantae; Streptophyta; Magnoliopsida; Poales; Poaceae
Description: long non-coding RNA (SBIC_LNC004263)
Source: RNAcentral